GAAAUAGCUAUUUCUUUCUUGCCCCUCCCAUUUUUUCUCGCUCUUUCUCUCGCCUUCGCAUCCCCCCACUAGCUUCUCCCACCCUUGCCCUACCCCCUAAAUAGCGCCUACUAUGCAGGCUAUCUGCAUGAUGACUACUGAUCUGCAGCACCAGAAUCUAGCCUGAAAUGUCAGGCGUUCUCCCCGCUUGAACACGGGGAGAGACUCAGAGACAUCAGUCUCUCCCCGUGUUCAAGCGGGCAGAACGCCUGACAUUUCAGGCUACACCAGAAUCAAGUUUGUCCCAAUAAAUGCCAUAAUACUGUCAAUUAGAGGACAUGAACGACAAGAAGUCGAAUCUGACAUUUUUCUUGGCUAUAUAUUUUUCCAUUUAGCUAAAUUUCAACAUAAAAUACUUACUAAAUACACAAUUAUAGUAUCGUAGUUGUCUCACCUUGACAAAAGAAUACAAAUUGCAACAGUUUAUACCUAACCCAGUGUUUCCACUCCCAAAAUAAUAAUUUCCUUCUCCAUAACCCAAAAUUUCCUUUUUGCCAGCAAGAUUUCCUUCCAAAAAUCUCUAAAUAUCCUUCCAUUUUUCCUUCAAUUUUUUUAUCAAAAUUGACC
Molecule: non-coding RNA, 606 nt
Organism: Paramuricea clavata
Lineage: Eukaryota; Metazoa; Cnidaria; Anthozoa; Malacalcyonacea; Plexauridae
Source: the annotation of a GenBank genome assembly